GGCCUCGUGCUGGAAUUGGUAGACAGUCUGGACUUAAAAUCCAGUGGGAUUUACUCCCGUGGCGGUUCGAGUCCGCCCGAGGCUA
Molecule: transfer RNA, 85 nt
Filed under: alpha proteobacterium HIMB59
Lineage: Bacteria; Pseudomonadati; Pseudomonadota; Alphaproteobacteria; Candidatus Pelagibacterales; Candidatus Pelagibacteraceae
Rfam family: tRNA
About the family: Transfer RNA (tRNA) molecules are approximately 80 nucleotides in length. Their secondary structure includes four short double-helical elements and three loops (D, anti-codon, and T loops).
Source: Rfam by way of RNAcentral